This is a long non-coding RNA of Cucurbita maxima (winter squash), 543 nucleotides long. RefSeq lists it as uncharacterized. NCBI's taxonomy places the organism in Eukaryota, Viridiplantae, Streptophyta, Magnoliopsida, Cucurbitales, Cucurbitaceae. The record is from RefSeq and is a predicted model, not a curated record. The transcript is spliced from 2 exons.
AUCACUACCUAAUUAUCAAACCAUCUCAUUCAACUUUGAGCAAAAGUAAAAGGGAUUGAAGAAGAUGGAUGAAGAAAUCACUCUUCCUUCACGUAAAUCUUCGUGGCCGGAACUCGUAUUCAUCGAAUCCUCCAUUGCAGUUCGUCUUAUAAAGAAAGAUAAUCCUGAUGUAAAGACAAUCGUGCUAUUAGCUGGGACUGGAGGGACUAAAGAUUUCAGACACGAUCGAGUUCGAAUUUUUGUUAAUAUAAAUGAUAAAGUCGUUGAAGUUCCUCAAAUUGGUUGAAAUAAUUUGAAUAUCUAUAUUUGUUUGGUGAUUAAAUAAGGUAGAACCUACCUUUCCACCCUAAUAUUUGAUUUAUAUGUAUGGUUUAUUUGAAUGUUUGUGUGGCAUUUAAAUAUUUGUCUGCUCAUGGAGCAACUAUUGGAGCAACUUUUCUUUUAAUGGCUUAAAGCUUUAAUUUCAACCGGAAUAAUUCCAAUUCAUCUAGUAUUCCAUUACAAAUAGUAAUGUUAUCUUUGUCAUUAAAAAUAAAUUAUCUA